UGUAAGUCCGAGAUGGUGUUUUAAGCGUU
This 29-nucleotide non-coding RNA is filed under the name Mus musculus (house mouse). Lineage: Eukaryota; Metazoa; Chordata; Mammalia; Rodentia; Muridae. The record is from RNAcentral.